GUCAUGUAUCCUACCUCAGUAAGGGGCUAACUGAUGAACAGAAGAGGUAGCCCUGGAUCCUACCUCAAUAAGGGCCUAACUGAUGAACGGAAGAGGUAGUCAUGUAUCCUACCUCAGUAAGGGGCUAACUGAUGAACAGAAGAGGUAGGCCUGGAUCCUACCUCAAUAAGGGGCUAACUGAUGAACGGAAGAGGUAGGCCUGGAUCCUACCUCAAUAAGGGGCUAACUGAUGAACAGAAGAGGUAGCCCUGGAUCCUACCUCAAUAAGGGGCUAACUGAUGAACAGAAGAGGUAGCCCUGGAUCCUACCUCAAUAAGGGGCUAACUGAUGAACAGAAGAGGUAGCCCUGGUUCCUACCUCAAUAAGGGGCUAACUGAUGAACGGAAGAGGUAGGCCUGGAUCCUACCUCAAUAAGGGGCUAACUGAUGAACAGAAGAGGUAGCCCUAGAUCCUACCUCAAUAAGGGGCUAACUGAUGAACAGAAGAGGUAGCCCUGGAUCCUACCUCAAUAAGGGGCUAGCUGAUGAACAGAAGAGGUAGGCCUGGAUCCUACCUCAAUAAGGGGCUAACUGAUGAACGGAAGAGGUAGUCAUGUAUCCUACCUCAAUAAGGGGCUAACUGAUGAACAGAAGAGGUAGUCAUGUAUCCUACCUCAAUAAGGGGCUAACUGAUGAACAGAAGAGGUAGUCAUGUAUCCUACCUCAAUAAGGGGCUAACUGAUGAACAGAAGAGGUAGUCAUGUAUCCUACCUCAGUAAGGGGCUAACUGAUGAACAGAAGAGGUAGUCAUGUAUCCUACCUCAGUAAGGGGCUAACUGAUGAACAGAAGAGGUAGUCAUGUAUCCUACCUCAAUAAGGGGCUAACUGAUGAACAGAAGAGGUAGUCAUGUAUCCUACCUCAAUAAGGGGCUAACUGAUGAACAGAAGAGGUAGUCAUGUAUCCUACCUCAGUAAGGGGCUAACUGAUGAACAGAAGAGGUAGUCAUGUAUCCUACCUCAGUAAGGGGCUAACUGAUGAACAGAAGAGGUAGUCAUGUAUCCUACCUCAAUAAGGGGCUAACUGAUGAACAGAAGAGGUAGUCAUGUAUCCUACCUCAAUAAGGGGCUAACUGAUGAACAGAAGAGGUAGUCAUGUAUCCUACCUCAAUAAGGGGCUAACUGAUGAACGGAAGAGGUAGUCAUGUAUCCUACCUCAAUAAGGGGCUAACUGAUGAACAGAAGAGGUAGUCAUGUAUCCUACCUCAAUAAGGGGCUAACUGAUGAACAGAAGAGGUAGUCAUGUAUCCUACCUCAAUAAGGGGCUAACUGAUGAACAGAAGAGGUAGUCAUGUAUCCUACCUCAGUAAGGGGCUAACUGAUGAACAGAAGAGGUAGUCAUGUAUCCUACCUCAGUAAGGGGCUAACUGAUGAACAGAAGAGGUAGUCAUGUAUCCUACCUCAAUAAGGGGCUAACUGAUGAACAGAAGAG
Molecule: long non-coding RNA, 1467 nt
Organism: Oncorhynchus keta (chum salmon)
Lineage: Eukaryota; Metazoa; Chordata; Actinopteri; Salmoniformes; Salmonidae
Exons: 4
Source: RefSeq, a predicted model, not a curated record